GUCCCUCUAAUUUAAGACUAUGUCCUCUUGUUGUGGUAGUUUUUCUUCUUUUAAAUAUAGUCUCCUCCUUUACUGUGUUGAUUCCCUUUAUAUAUUUAAAUGUUUCUAUCAUAUCCCCCCUGUCUCGUCUUUCCUCCAAGCUAUACAUGUUAAGAUCCUUUAACCUUUUCUGGUAAGUUUUAUCCCGCAAUCCAUGAACCAGUUUAGUAGCCCUUCUCUGAACCCUCUCUAAGGUAUCAAUAUCCUUCUGAAGAUACGGUCUCCAGUACUGUGUACAAUACUCCAAGUGAGGUCUCACCAGUGUUCUGUACAAUGGCAUGAGCACUUCCCUCUUUCUACUGCUAAUACCUCUCCCUAUACAACCAAGCAUUCUGCUAGCAUUUCCUGCUGCUCUAUUACAUUGUCUGCCUACCUUUAAGUCAUCAGAAAUAAUCACCCCUAAAUCCCUUUCCUCAU
This is a non-coding RNA of Pelobates cultripes (western spadefoot toad), 456 nucleotides long. The record is from the annotation of a GenBank genome assembly. Lineage: Eukaryota; Metazoa; Chordata; Amphibia; Anura; Pelobatidae.